Molecule: long non-coding RNA, 525 nt
Organism: Artibeus jamaicensis (Jamaican fruit-eating bat)
Lineage: Eukaryota; Metazoa; Chordata; Mammalia; Chiroptera; Phyllostomidae
Exons: 2
Source: RefSeq, a predicted model, not a curated record
ACAGCCGGCUCGAUCUGGUUCGAGCCGAGCCCGGGUGGCCUGACAUGCGCAGUGCGCGAGAGUGAGGGUGGGGGCGCGGGCCUGGGUAGACCCGGCAGCCGGGGACUCCGAGAACGGGGGAGCGGUGUAAGCCACGUCCCUGCCCCCCAACGCGGACCAGCCUGUCAUCGCUCCUCCUCUUCCCAGGAAGAGUGUUGAUCGUUCUGACCGGUGGUGAGGGCCUUCGAAGCCCCGGCCUCCGUUCAUCUGCAAGGCCCACCCCCUGGCACUUUAACACCCGGGUUCUAGAGCAAAAUCCCACAGGGUGUUUGCCAUUUCGCUUGCGAAACUACUUAGCUGUAACUUAUUAAGAAUGUGACCUUUCCUUUUUUAUUGUUGUGUACGCUUAGGAAUUCUUGGAAAGUUGGGAAAACCUAGCCUAUGGUUUGCUACUGUGGUGAAAUCAUUUUGAAAAGUACCUUCAGCAAUUAAUGAAAUGGACAUAAUGAUACACUUUAUAGAAAUUUAAUGCAACGUUUGUUUUGA